GUUUGAUCAUGGCUCAGGAUGAACGCUAGCUACAGGCUUAACACAUGCAAGUCGAGGGGAAACGACAUCGAAAGCUUGCUUUUGAUGGGCGUCGACCGGCGCACGGGUGAGUAACGCGUAUCCAACCUGCCCAUCACUUGGGGAUAACCUUGCGAAAGUAAGACUAAUACCCAAUGAUAUCUCUAGAAGACAUCUGAAAGAGAUUAAAGAUUUAUCGGUGAUGGAUGGGGAUGCGUCUGAUUAGCUUGUUGGCGGGGUAACGGCCCACCAAGGCGACGAUCAGUAGGGGUUCUGAGAGGAAGGUCCCCCACAUUGGAACUGAGACACGGUCCAAACUCCUACGGGAGGCAGCAGUGAGGAAUAUUGGUCAAUGGACGAGAGUCUGAACCAGCCAAGUAGCGUGCAGGAUGACGGCCCUAUGGGUUGUAAACUGCUUUUAUAAGGGAAUAAAGUGAGCCUCGUGAGGCUUUUUGCAUGUACCUUAUGAAUAAGGACCGGCUAAUUCCGUGCCAGCAGCCGCGGUAAUACGGAAGGUCCGGGCGUUAUCCGGAUUUAUUGGGUUUAAAGGGAGCGUAGGCCGGAGAUUAAGCGUGUUGUGAAAUGUAGACGCUCAACGUCUGCACUGCAGCGCGAACUG
This 637-nucleotide ribosomal RNA is filed under the name uncultured bacterium. RNAcentral describes it as "bacterial SSU rRNA". It matches the Rfam family "Bacterial small subunit ribosomal RNA", at positions 11 to 635 of the family's 1533-position model. The record is from RNAcentral.